This 1354-nucleotide long non-coding RNA is filed under the name Cyanistes caeruleus (blue tit). RNAcentral's name for it is "lncRNA (ENSCCEG00000002030.1)". Lineage: Eukaryota; Metazoa; Chordata; Aves; Passeriformes; Paridae. The record is from RNAcentral.
CGCCGGGCUGGCCACAGAAGGACGGGGCCACGCCUCCCUCCGGCGUGUGGGCGGUGCCAUGACGUCAGUGGGCGGUGCAGAGGCGCUGUGGAGGCUGCAGGGAACGCCCCUGAUGGGGGCUGCCGUGGGGGCGAUGAUGCAGGCGGGAUAUAGAGUGAAACUAAAGCCAUAUUAGAAACAUCAACAUAUGUCAGCUGGUGCAAAAAGAGACCAAAAAUACCAGGACAAUACAGCUCUUUUAAGUGAUACAACCUCACCAUAAGGAGCAAAAGUGCUUCUGAAUUAUGCCUUUCCCAGAUCAAUUCUCUUUUAGACUGCAAUAUGUUUUUCUGGUGAACAGAUAGCUUUGCUUCAAGUCCAAAUAUCUAACUGCUUCAGAAAGAUCCUAGAGAAAUUAGGUGUCUUUUCUAUUGUGAAUUCAAUUUGUGCUGAGCCAUGAAAGUUGUGGUUAUUAUAAUUUGAUGUGUCUCAAAAUAUAUUUUCUCCAUCUGCUUGAUUUUCUGAUUAUAGCAGUAAAAAUAGAAAAAAUGUCAGAAAAAUAUCAACUAAUACAUAACAAUUUUUGAAACUGUUGCCUACAAUUUAUGCAGCAAAAGAAGGAAAACAGGCUGUGAGGAUGGAUUGCUAUGAAGAACCCUAUACAGUGACUUUCCUUAUUCCUGCAAGAAAUACAAAUACAGCAUUUGGAUCAUGGAAGGAGUCAUUUUCAUUAUUUACUUAGUAAAUGAAAAUCAUUAUGUAAAUAUAUAUAUAUGUGAAGUUUACUGUAAUAUUGAUGUUCUCUCUUAGUAUGUAUGAAAACACAUUUGCGAGAAAUCCAGAGAGAUUUCAGCUUCAUAUAACAUAUCUUCUAUAAUCAGAAAUUGCUCUUAAUAUGUUGCCUUAGCUAGAGCUACAAUGCAGAGAUUCCUUUCUCAACAGAAACUUCAGUAAUACGACUAGCAGAGAGGAGCUUCACUUUGAAGGCAACAGGAUUUUAUUUUGUUCUGAUUGAUUAAGAUCUUUGAGCAUACUUAUAGGUUGUAUUUUGAACUUGGUGGUUCAAUUAGUAGCCUCUUUUUAUCCUUCUUUGUUACUUCAGUUGGUUUUAGCAGAGGGAAAAAUUAAGUAGAUAUACAAAGACAGACAUCAGAGCAAGCAUCACUGAGACCGAUAUUUAAACAAGGACUUCUCUCUUGAACCUCUGCUAAGGACUUGUACAUGAUGCAUCAGUUGGUGAAAAAAAGUGUCUCUUACAGUUGAACCUUCAUUAAAAGUGUCAGUGGAAAGAGACAUUACCAAGGAGAAAACCCUUCUAGAAAGUACACAUAAUGGGAUGUCAAUAAACUGUCUCUUUGUUAUUUUGAGACUGGCA